This 751-nucleotide ribosomal RNA is filed under the name uncultured bacterium. RNAcentral's name for it is "bacterial SSU rRNA". It matches the Rfam family "Bacterial small subunit ribosomal RNA", at positions 8 to 796 of the family's 1533-position model. The record is from RNAcentral.
AGAGUUUGAUCAUGGCUCAGAACGAACGCUGGCGGCAUGCCUAACACAUGCAAGUCGAACGUGAUCCAUGACUUCGGUUGUGGUGAAAGUGGCAAACGGGUGAGUAACGCGUGGGAACCUGCCCAGAGGUAGGGAAUAACUGCGGGAAACUGCGGCUAAUACCCUAUGUGCCCUGAGGGGCAAAGAUUUAUCGCCUUUGGAGGGGCCCGCGUCGGAUUAGGUAGUUGGUGGGGUAACGGCCUACCAAGCCAUCGAUCCGUAGCUGGUCUGAGAGGAUGAUCAGCCACACUGGGACUGAGAUACGGCCCAGACUCCUACGGGAGGCAGCAGUGGGGAAUAUUGGACAAUGGGGGCAACCCUGAUCCAGCAAUGCCGCGUGAGUGAUGAAGGCCUUCGGGUUGUAAAGCUCUUUCGGCGGGGAAGAUGAUGACGGUACCCGCAGAAGAAGCCCCGGCUAACUUCGUGCCAGCAGCCGCGGUAAUACGAAGGGGGCUAGCGUUGUUCGGAAUUACUGGGCGUAAAGGGCGCGUAGGCGGUGCUGUAAGUCAGGCGUGAAAUCCCCGGGCUCAACCUGGGAAUUGCGCAUGAUACUGCGGCGCUGGAAUGCGGGAGAGGAUGGCGGAUUCCUGGUGUAGCGGUGAAAUGCGCAGAUAUCAGGAGGAACACCGGGCGAAGGCGGAUCUCUGGGCCAUUACUGACGCUGAGGAGCGAAAGCGUGGGGAGCGAACAGGAUUAGAUACCCUAGUAGUCC